This is a long non-coding RNA of Gallus gallus (chicken), 1264 nucleotides long. The record is from Ensembl. NCBI's taxonomy places the organism in Eukaryota, Metazoa, Chordata, Aves, Galliformes, Phasianidae.
CCAAAACCUUGGAGAUUUUUAAAAAAUAUUUUUAUAUUUAAAAAAAAAAAAAAGUUUCCAAGAAUUAAAUAACACGAAAGUGUAUGAAAUAUGAUGUAGGGAAUGUUCCCAUUGCACUCACAUCUGAAGUUAAUUUGGGAGACGCUCUGAAUAGCUUUUUAAAGAGUGGAUAAACAUUGGCAUCAAAAGUGUAAAUAAAGUUACCAGACAAAGCGGCCGUUCAAAGGGAAUUGUCUCUGGGAUAUUGGCCGGGCAGCUUUAAUGACUGCAUGCAGGAACAUUUGAAGAUAAAAUAAGGGCCUCGCUGAUUAGCUUGGGCUGAGUUUCUCUGCUUGGUCUCCCUCUCAUGAUGUCACAUUCGAGCAGUGCUGGCAGCUGCUCGCCAAUGGUUUCCUACCCGGCGGUGUCUCCGGUGGGGGUUCCCAUGGCCACAGCACCCAGCAGCCAUCCCACUGCUGCUCCGCACCUGCUGGUGGAUCGCCCGCUGUGCCUCAGCAGGAAGCCUUGACUCCAGAGUCUCUUCCCCAAGUGAUGAAGAGCAAACCUCGCUCUGGUUGGUCCCACAGCACUGCUGCUAACCACAGCAGCAGCAGCAGCUCUCCGCACUCCCACCACAUGCAGAACCCAGCACAGCUGGGAUGCUGCUCACCCAGGCAUUGUCCAGAGGGAGCGCCAUUCCCCCGGAGACCGUGGCAUGGAUUUUGUUGCAAAUAACUCAAUAAUGACACUGCAACUCCUUCUUUGCCCAGGACUCGCCUGCACACUGUGGCAGACUCCUGCUCAAGCGUUGGAGGGCCGGAAUCCCUGAUGGAGGUUCCAUGAAUGCCUUUGGGGUGGAGGACCUCAACACCACAGAGCUGUUCUGGAGGAGGAAGAGGAGGAGGAGGAGGAGGAGCUCAGUGCAGGGCCUCACAGCACGGUGCCAUCCAGGGGGGACAGGAGCUGGUCCUCCCCACCCACCCCAGCACUGCGAGCAUCGGGAGGCAUCAGCCUUCGUGCCACUUGUGUAAACUAUUACAGCAAAGGGCAGAGGUUAAACGCAGCACAUGUGUGGCAUCAAUUAACAGGAUUUCAAGGUCUCUGGUGGAGUUUCUGCUCAAAUCUCCUGUGGCAGGUUUGGUUUUCUUAACCCCUCGGAUGCCAUGCGGUUGGCAGCCUCGGCUCUGCGCUGCUCCCUGCUGCUGCGGGGGUCCCCCAGGGCCACGUUGGGAGCAGCCUCAGUCAAUUUAGGCACAAGGGGACAGCACACAGCCCAUGGGUCUGG